GAAAAGUUGGCCGCCAUGGACUGUCGUCUGGUACUUUGCUUGAUCGUCAUUGGACUCGUUUCUCAUCAUGUCUCCGCUCAAAGGGGGUCGUGCGAAGGGUGCUGUGACUGCGGCUUUAUGGGUGGCUAUAAUUGCUAUUGCGAUAAUUAUUGCCAGACAGCCGGUGAUUGUUGCUCAGACUACGCAACGCACUGUGCCGAUCCUUGCGAGUCAACACCCUGUCAGAACGGUGGAUUCUGUGACAGUGUUGAGGGAACGUUCACAUGUACCUGUCCUUCUGGAUAUUUUGGGGAGAGAUGCCAAGAAAAGGAGAGCGACCCUUGUAGUUCUGCACCCUGUCUGAACGGUGGGUCGUGUAGCAGCGAUGGAAACUCAUCUUGGUGUUACUGUCCAGAUGGAUACACUGGAAAGUAUUGUGAAAAUCAUCAUGGAAACGGGAGCGACCCGUGUAGUUUUGCACCCUGUCUGAACGGUGGGACGUGUUACAGCAAUGGAAAUUCAUCUUCGUGUAUCUGUCCAGACGGAUAUUAUGGAGAGCAUUGUGAAUAUCAUCAAGGAAACGGAAGCGACCCGUGUAGUUUUGCACCCUGUCUGAACGGUGGGACGUGUUACAGCAAUGGAAAUUCAUCUUCGUGUAUCUGUCCAGACGGAUUUUAUGGAGAGCAUUGUGAAUACCAUCAGGGAAACGGAAGCGACCCCUGUAGUUUUGCACCCUGUCUGAACGGUGGGACGUGUUACAGCAAUGGAAAUUCAUCUUCGUGUUUCUGUCCAGACGGAUAUUAUGGAGAGCAUUGUGAAUACCAUCAGGGAAACGGGAGCGACCCGUGUAGUUUUGAACCCUGUCUGAACGGUGGGACGUGUUACAGCAAUGGAAAUUCAUCUUCGUGUUUCUGUCCAGACGGAUAUUAUGGAGAGCAUUGUGAAUACCAUCAUGGAAACGGAAGCAACCCCUGUAGUUUUGCACCCUGUCUGAACGGUGGGACGUGUUACAGCAAUGGAAAUUCAUCUUCGUGUAUCUGUCCAGACGGAUAUUAUGGAGAGCAUUGUGAAUACCAUCAGGGAAACGGGAGCGACCCGUGUAGUUUUGCACCCUGUCUGAACGGUGGGACGUGUUACAGCAAUGGAAAUUCAUCUUCGUGUUUCUGUCCAGACGGAUAUUAUGGAGAGCAUUGUGAAUACCAUCAGGGAAACGGGAGCGACCCGUGUAGUUUUGCACCCUGUCUGAACGGUGGGACGUGUUACAGCAAUGGAAAUUCAUCUUCGUGUUUCUGUCCAGAUGGAUAUUAUGGAGAGCAUUGUGAAUACCAUCAUGGAAACGGAAGCGACCCCUGUAGUUUUGCACCCUGUCUGAACGGUGGGACGUGUUACAGCAAUGGAAAUUCAUCUUCGUGUAUCUGUCCAGACGGAUAUUAUGGAGAGCAUUGUGAAUACCAUCAGGGAAACGGAAGCGACCCCUGUAGUUUUGCACCCUGUCUGAACGGUGGGACGUGUUACAGCAAUGGAAAUUCAUCUUCGUGUAUCUGUCCAGACGGAUAUUAUGGAGAGCAUUGUGAAUACCAUCAGGGAAACGGGAGCGACCCGUGUAGUUUUGCACCCUGUCUGAACGGUGGGACGUGUUACAGCAAUGGAAAUUCAUCUUCGUGUUUCUGUCCAGACGGAUAUUAUGGAGAGCAUUGUAAAUACCAUCAUGGAAACGGAAGCGACCCCUGUAGUUUUGCACCCUGUCUGAACGGUGGGACGUGUUACAGCAAUGGAAAUUCAUCUUCGUGUAUCUGUCCAGACGGAUAUUAUGGAGAGCAUUGUGAAUACCAUCAGGGAAACGGGAGCGACCCGUGUAGUUUUGCACCCUGUCUGAACGGUGGGACGUGUUACAGCAAUGGAAAUUCAUCUUCGUGUUUCUGUCCAGAUGGAUAUUAUGGAGAGCAUUGUGAAUACCAUCAUGGAAACGGAAGCGACCCCUGUAGUUUUGCACCCUGUCUGAACGGUGGGACGUGUUACAGCAAUGGAAAUUCAUCUUCGUGUAUCUGUCCAGACGGAUAUUAUGGAGAGCAUUGUGAAUACCAUCAGGGAAACGGGAGCGACCCGUGUAGUUUUGCACCCUGUCUGAACGGUGGGACGUGUUACAGCAAUGGAAAUUCAUCUUCGUGUUUCUGUCCAGACGGAUAUUAUGGAGAGCAUUGUAAAUACCAUCAUGGAAACGGAAGCGACCCCUGUAGUUUUGCACCCUGUCUGAACGGUGGGACGUGUUACAGCAAUGGAAAUUCAUCUUCGUGUAUCUGUCCAGACGGAUAUUAUGGAGAGCAUUGUGAAUACCAUCAGGGAAACGGGAGCGACCCGUGUAGUUUUGCACCCUGUCUGAACGGUGGGACGUGUUACAGCAAUGGAAAUUCAUCUUCGUGUUUCUGUCCAGAUGGAUAUUAUGGAGAGCAUUGUGAAUACCAUCAUGGAAACGGAAGCGACCCCUGUAGUUUUGCACCCUGUCUGAACGGUGGGACGUGUUACAGCAAUGGAAAUUCAUCUUCGUGUAUCUGUCCAGACGGAUAUUAUGGAGAGCAUUGUGAAUACCAUCAGGGAAACGGAAGCGACCCCUGUAGUUUUGCACCCUGUCUGAACGGUGGGACGUGUUACAGCAAUGGAAAUUCAUCUUCGUGUAUCUGUCCAGACGGAUAUUAUGGAGAGCAUUGUGAAUACCAUCAGGGAAACGGGAGCGACCCGUGUAGUUUUGCACCCUGUCUGAACGGUGGGACGUGUUACAGCAAUGGAAAUUCAUCUUCGUGUUUCUGUCCAGACGGAUAUUAUGGAGAGCAUUGUAAAUACCAUCAUGGAAACGGAAGCGACCCGUGUAGUUUUGCACCCUGUCUGAACGGUGGGACGUGUUACAGCAAUGGAAAUUCAUCUUCGUGUAUCUGUCCAGACGGAUAUUAUGGAGAGCAUUGUGAAUACCAUCAAGCCUGGAACUCGACAACUAUCCUAUAGUAUCUAUUCCUAUUAUGGAUUGUGAACGGUAA
Molecule: long non-coding RNA, 3008 nt
Organism: Strongylocentrotus purpuratus (purple sea urchin)
Lineage: Eukaryota; Metazoa; Echinodermata; Echinoidea; Camarodonta; Strongylocentrotidae
Product: fibropellin-1
Exons: 25
Source: RefSeq, a predicted model, not a curated record